RNAcentral lists this transfer RNA (71 nucleotides) under Tenacibaculum skagerrakense. Its description in RNAcentral is "tRNA-His". It matches the Rfam family "tRNA". From Rfam's summary of the family: Transfer RNA (tRNA) molecules are approximately 80 nucleotides in length. RNAcentral also lists the same sequence under 1 other name. The record is from RNAcentral. Lineage: Bacteria; Pseudomonadati; Bacteroidota; Flavobacteriia; Flavobacteriales; Flavobacteriaceae.
GUGGUUUUAGUUUAACUGGUAAAACGUCUCAUUGUGGAUGAGAAGAAUAGGGUUCGAGCCCCGAAAUCACC